CAGCAGCCGCGGGAAUACAGAGGGUGCGAGCGUUAAUCGGAUUUACUGGGCGUAAAGCGUGCGUAGGCGGCUUUUUAAGUCGGAUGUGAAAUCCCUGAGCUUAACUUAGGAAUUGCAUUCGAUACUGGGAAGCUAGAGUAUGGGAGAGGAUGGUAGAAUUCCAGGUGUAGCGGUGAAAUGCGUAGAGAUCUGGAGGAAUACCGAUGGCGAAGGCAGCCAUCUGGCCUAAUACUGACGCUGAGGUACGAAAGCAUGGGGAGCAAACAGGAUUAGAUACCCCAGUAGUCCCUGUCUCUUAUAC
Molecule: ribosomal RNA, 301 nt
Filed under: uncultured bacterium
Lineage: Bacteria
Description: partial 16S ribosomal RNA
Rfam family: Bacterial small subunit ribosomal RNA
Source: RNAcentral